GAGCAUAAUCAUUUGUCUUUUAAUUGAGGUCUGGUAUGAAUGGUUGGAUGAGGGAUUUACUUUCUUUAUUAUAUAUAUAUAAUUUGAUUUUUAAGUUAAAAAGCUUAAAUUUAAUUAAAGGACGAGAAGACCCUAUAGAACUUUAUUAAACAUAUGUUUAAUAUUAUUUUGUGGAUAAUUAUUUUUAAAUAUAAUUUUAAUUAUGUUGGGGUGACAAAAAAAAAUUAAUAACUUUUUUUAUUUUAUCCACUUUUAAGUGCUUGUUUUAACCUAUUUUAUAGAAAAAAGAUUAAGUUACCUUAGGGAUAACAGCGUUAUUAUUUUAGAGAGUUCAUAUUGAUAAAAUAGUUUGCGACCUCGAUGUUGGAUUAAAAAUAGUUUCAGAGGCAGAAUGUUGUUUACUAGGUCUGUUCGACCUUUAAAUUUUUACAUGAUCUGAGU
RNAcentral lists this ribosomal RNA (441 nucleotides) under Linacoris sp. KLM-2013. RNAcentral describes it as "partial 16S ribosomal RNA". The stretch from base 305 to 441 matches the Rfam family "Bacterial large subunit ribosomal RNA", at positions 2473 to 2610 of the family's 2925-position model. The record is from RNAcentral. Lineage: Eukaryota; Metazoa; Arthropoda; Insecta; Hemiptera; Miridae.